Molecule: ribosomal RNA, 253 nt
Filed under: uncultured bacterium
Lineage: Bacteria
Description: partial 16S ribosomal RNA
Rfam family: Bacterial small subunit ribosomal RNA
Source: RNAcentral
UACGGAGGGUGCAAGCGUUAUCCGGAUUCACUGGGCUUAAAGGGUGCGUAGGUGGGCUAGUAAGUCCGUGGUGAAAUCUCUGAGCUUAACUCGGAAACUGCCGUGGAUACUAUUAGUCUUGAAUCUCGUGGAGGUAAGCGGAAUAUGUCAUGUAGCGGUGAAAUGCUUAGAUAUGACAUAGAACACCGAUAGCGAAGGCAGCUUGCUACACGAGUAUUGACACUGAGGCACGAAAGCGUGGGGAUCAAACAGG